This 465-nucleotide ribosomal RNA is filed under the name uncultured bacterium. RNAcentral's name for it is "partial 16S ribosomal RNA". It matches the Rfam family "Bacterial small subunit ribosomal RNA", at positions 338 to 795 of the family's 1533-position model. The record is from RNAcentral.
CCUACGGGUGGCAGCAGUGGGGAAUAUUGCGCAAUGGGCGAAAGCCUGACGCAGCGACGCCGCGUGAGGGAUGAAGGUCUUCGGAUCGUAAACCUCUGUCAGCAGAGAAGAACGGUCACUGUGCUAAUCAGCAGUGAAUUGACGGUACCUGCAAAGGAAGCACCGGUUAACUCCGUGCCAGCAGCCGCGGGAAUACGGAGGGUGCGAGCGUUCAUCGGAAUUACUGGGCGUAAAGCGCUCGUAGGCGGUAUGUCAAGUCAAGGGUGAAAUCCCCGCGCUCAACGUGGGAACUGCCUUUGAAACUGGCAGACUGGAGUGUGUGAGAGGAUAGUGGAAUUCCAGGUGUAGGAGUGAAAUCCGUAGAUAUCUGGAGGAACAUCAGUGGCGAAGGCGACUAUCUGGCACAUAACUGACGCUGAGGAGCGAAAGCGUGGGUAGCAAACAGGAUUAGAUACCCUUGUAGUC